Molecule: long non-coding RNA, 7660 nt
Filed under: Equus caballus (horse)
Lineage: Eukaryota; Metazoa; Chordata; Mammalia; Perissodactyla; Equidae
Description: lncRNA (ENSECAG00000049605.1)
Source: RNAcentral
ACCAGAUUUUCAUGAAGCAGCUCCCCUAACUCAGAGCUGGGACUCAGUAAUCCAAGUCCCAUGCAAAUCCCAUUUUACAGACAAGGAAACUGUGGUUUUCAGAGGGCGAGUGUGGCAGAAUCAGACCACAUGCCCCCUCAUCCCAUCUUCUCCUCCUGGGCACAUGGGAAGAUGACAUUUCCCUGGCUCUCUGGCCAUGAAUUGGGACCACAGGACUGGUUCUGGACCAUGGGAUAUGCACAGGAGUCAUGCCUGCCCCCCCACGCCUGAGCACAAGCCCCCAUUCAACCUUCCACCCUCUCUCUUUCCCUUCCAUGUUCACUGUGAAGGCCCUGUUUCAAGAUGGCAGCAUCUAGAAAUGGAAGGAGCCAGCGCUUGACUUGCUGCCCGGGAGAGGCCCCAUAGACAGAGACAUAGUCAUGUCUCAUAGACAUGAGACAAACCUCAGUGAUGUCAGGGCACUGAGCACCUAAUGUCACUGCACAAAGGGCACAAUCUGCUCGCUGUGAGACAAAAGCCAAAGGUCAAGAGGCAAGCUGGUGGCAGAGAAAGAGUAUUUUAUUACAGUUUGCUAGCAAGAGGGAAGAUGGCUGACUAAUGUCCAAAAAAACCAUCUUAAGCAGGGCACAGAAUCCUGAAGCAGUUAUAUGGGCCAAUGGGUUAUAGGGUAGGGGCUUAGGAAUGUUGACCCUCUGGUGUUACAGACUGGGAGUGGCCACACCAGGUCUUUCAGUUUUCAUUGAUGAUGGCUAUCAGCAGAAACUCUCUCUUUGGGGAUCAUCACAUUCCUAAGGAACUCAAAAGAAUGAAGUUAUUGUCUUAUCACAGCUGGAAGGUAUAUGCACAGGCAGCGGUCACAAAAUCUACAGAACAGGCACUGGCCCCAUGGCCAAGUGGUUGGGUUUGUGCACUCUGCUUUGGCAGCCCAGGGUUUUGCCAGUUCAGGUCCUGGGUGCAGGCAUGGCACUGUUCAUUGGGCCAUGCUGAGGUGGCAUCCCACAUGCCACAACUGGAAGGAUCCACAACUAUGUACCAGGGAGCUUUGGGGAGAAAAAGGAAAAAUAAAAUCUUUAAAAAAAUAUACAGAACAGGUGGAUCUCCUGGAGGGUGCAAAUCCAGCUGGGUUAGUUAGUCAGAGGUCAUUCAAAGUUACAACAUGGUUUCUUUUCUACAAUAUGGCUUCCCUUAUGUCAACCUUGUGUUGAGCUGGUUUCAAUUCCUCCUUUUUGUUUUUCAUCCCUCAAUCUUGAGGGACACCCUGUUGAUGAGGGUCAUAGGUUGUUCCAUCUCAUGGAACCAGUCUCUUAGUAAGACGGUGAUGCAGGUGGGCUCCCAUAGUUAGGCCUAUAUUGGGUAAGCAGGUAACCAGAUAUUUAAUAAGAAGCAUUUCUACAGAGACAAAAAGAAAAACAAGGUUAAUGGUGGGAGCAAAUUAUAAACCAGUUUCUGAGCCCAGGGUCAGCCAGUCAAGAAAACUUCUAGAUGUCAGGGUCAAAGCAUCUUUUGCAGUUUGAAAUAUCCCUGAUGAUGCCAUCAGGUGUUCAGGUAUCUUUCUGAGGAGCUUACAUAGCAACAGCUAUGAAUAUCUCUGAAGUUUAUAUCAAGUCCUCGAGUUUCAGCUUGCAAGGCUUCAGGAAAAAGGGCAGCUUCAGUUGUCAAUGAUUCCAAGUGAAAAUGAUGGGAAAAAAUUAAAAUCAUUAGUUCAGAGAUUUGUAGCCAGAUAUUUCAAGAGACUAGAAGAAUUUAGGACCCAGUCCAGUAAACAGAUACAAACAAAAGCUUCAAAGGCAAAUAACAGAACUAGAAUCUAAUAUCCAUGAAUGCCUACCAUAGUUUCUACUGAAACAUAACUUUUUUCUCUAAAAUCACCCUCAUUUUUACCAAAGAUAGCCAACUAAGACUCAUUGGUUUGCAAAACAAGGCUAGCAUUAAUAAAAUUUAAUUAAAUUAUUUACAUAAGUACAGCAAGAAUAACCAUUGAUCAUAUAGGCUCUUUAAAAUCUGCUUUGCUGCAACUUUUUACAAGAAAUCUCAGGUUGUAUUUUAAAGGCCUCUCAAGGCCAGCAAAGCUAAGCCAAGGAUUUGUCAUCAGGCUUCACCUGCAAUACUUUAGAUUUGGGUGAAUUCAUCUCAUCUCAUGAAGUUCCCCAAAAGUAUUUCAAGGUCCAAGCACCUGCCGGAUAAGUGACCUUCCUUACUUACCCGGGCUGCUGGAAUCCUUGUAAACAAGGUACCAGGCCAAUAUUUCCAAGUGGCUUUAUUUCAGGAAGUUAACCUUUAUUCCUCAAAAACUGUCUUGUCAUAUCUGAGUCUGUAUAUUUCUCUCAAAUAUGACAUUCCAGUCAAAGACUUGGUUAAAUGACAGAUGUUUCCAAAUGUGUCCAGUUAUAGGGAGAGAAGAUUCUUAUUGAACUUAUACAAAUAGCUAUGCUGCCGUGAAAAUAACCAUACUCUCUCACUCACUAAGAGUUUCCAAAUUCUGGAGGGAUCAGGUAGGGAGAAAAAGAUAAAUGUUUCAAUUCUGCUCAUAAAGGUAUAAUUUCACCAAGUUGCUAUAAGUCAUAGUUAGCAUAAGAGAAAACAGAAAAAGAUUUCCUUAAAUCUGAGAAGACAAAAGAAAACAUUUAAAAAAUCAACAUUUCAAACAAAAAUCAUAAAAAUUAUAAUCAUCUUCAUAGGUUCCACAGUCCUGUGUAAUCGAUUCUUGACCUUAAUCUUCUGUCAGCAGUUUCAUGAAGUCAUCAGUUUCUCUAUUAGAGUUCUGUAAUUUCUUACCCACUUCAGUUUUACAAUCUGAAAGUUUGUCGGAAACCUGUAUUCUAGAGUGUCAAAGUCCUUUCCAUGAAUUUCUCUGAAGAUGAAACAUAUUUUGCAAAAGCAUCAGAAUAAAAUAAUAACUGCCUAUAAGCAACAAGAUCCCAAAAUGGCAACUGAUAAAGAAAUGUGGUUAAUUUUGUGACAUACAAUACUUUAAAAUAACAACCAGAAUUAUGGCUGACAACCAGGACUGAUCAGAAUUUUAGGAAUGUUAUGUAAUUUUUAAAACAUUUAUAUCAAUAACAAUUACUCAUAUAAUACCACCCUAGAAAGUUUAUCAUCACUUAUUUAACAAUGCUUCCCAUGUAAUUGAACAUACCAAAUAAGCCUAAUUACCUUAGUGUCUUCCUCCUUAUAGGAAGAGAGAGCAAAUCUCUUUGAGAAGUCUCAGGGGCCCUCUGAAAAUCCUCAGAGAAAUUCUCUUCCUUCUUCCAGGCCAAAAGAAAGCCUUUAUUCAGGAUUUAAAUAUUUUGGCUGGAGGGAACUUGUCAAAAAUAUCAAAAGGUUUUAAAACACUUGGUCAAAUAGGAAACAACGCUCGCUCUAUUCAAUCAAAGUGACAACAGAAACAGUCAAGGGCAAACAGUUAAAACAGUCAAAAAUCUUAAUAGAGAGACCUCAGUCUUUCUGAACAUAGGAAACCAUUUUAACAAAACAGAUUUUCUGUCUUUUACAUAGACUUCUUCAAAGAAAAACCUUUUAUAAAUUCUUUAUCAAGAGCAGACCAAAAGUUCAAGAAAAUUAUCCUUUUGAGAGAGAAAAACAAAUUUUAAUUUUGCACCAACUCAUAUUUUUUUUACAUGAAAAUUCAUUUACUUAAUUGGAUUUACUUUAAUCUUAGCCAACUUGACCAGCAUAAAAGUUCUUUCAGAAUUUCUCUUUCACAAACCUUCUAUAACUUUCUUUUUACAUUCAGAAUUUGUCCCAUGCUUUCUUUCUUCCCUUCUAGUACUUGACAACAAAUUUAUCUUUCUUAACCCAACAAACAAAAAUACUCCCAAUCUUUAUACCUUCUUUACUGAAAACAUACAUUUUACUUCCCUUAGAUAUAAAGAUGUUUGCCUUAUUAAUUUCUAGUAGCUUUAAUUACAUAUAUUAAUUAGAAUUUUUAACCCUUACAGACCCUAGUAAAAACUAAAAGCUAAGCAAUUAUGAACUGUCUUUUACAUUAGCAUUCUGUGGCCUGGCAAAUUUAUAAAUACUUUUUAUAACUUCUAGAAACAUGCUACUUGAUGGUACAAUCUUAAUAAAACACAAGACCUGUUUACUAAUAGACCCAAACAUCUUUUAGUUUUUUUGUAGGAAGAAACCAAAAGUAAAUAAACACAGACAUGUCUAAUGAUAAUGUUUCAGUAUUUUAUCUUAUUUGAAAAAUGACCCAGAUAUUCAGUGAAUUUUUUAUCUUUCAAUUUUACCUAGCGACACUUCGAAGUUUCAGGUUACCAGAAAGAUUUUGGAAGUUAUUUUAAAAUAUGCAUGUCAUAAGCUAUAAUAAUUGCUAAAAGUUUAUCUACAAACUCUUAUCUUGCUUUUAUCUAGACCAUUUGUUUGUAACAAUCGUAUUUAGAUUACUCACAAAAACUUCAUACGACACUAAAGCACUUAGCCAUCAUCUUGUUGUUUUAAGUGCAUGCAUUAAAAAGUUUCCCCCAAAACUUUUACCCUUUUUACAUUUAUUCAGCUUGCUUGCUUCUAAUAAUUACUUAGAUUGCCUACAAAACUUCAUGAGACAUUAGACAAAAUUAGCCAUCAUUUUAAGUUAUUAUUUUUGCUAACCAGUUUUACGGUAGAGAUAACAUCAGCUUGUUUGACCAAUAAACCCAUACAUGUCUGCAUCAUAUCAAAACACUGACAAUGCUAAGGACAUGCUUAUUUCAAUCAAACUGACAAUCUUAAAUAAGCUUUCAGUUACCAAAAAUCAAUUUUACAUCUUGUAACUUAAAAGACAUUUGGGUUAAUUUCUUUUCCAUUUAGAAAUAAUUUAGGUAAGCACUUCUUUUAAGCCAAUUAAACAGAGCUCUUAAUUUUUGGCCAUACUAUCUGGAGGUAAAAAUAUCACAGACAUAUAACAUACAUAUGGAUGCACAUACACAUAGACUGCACAGCUAUUGUUUUAAAAUUACUGCCAUGAAUCAGGUACAAGGUUCCCUAGUUAUGAAUCCAACUUUUUGUAUUAAGCCUUUUUACUAAUAUUUGUGGAGAGGAUACUCAAGAUGCUACAUUUUUGGCGAGGGCACUCUUCUGGCUAUUUUUCUUGCUUCUGCCCCCUUUUUUUUUCUUCAGUCCUAGGAACUAGUGAUGGGCUAGAUAUUCCCCAGAGGAUUCGCAGGCUCUUUGAGAUAAGGGAAGUGGGUGGAACCUGAACUGCCUCUAGAGCUGCCUUUCCAGUCUUGCAAGGAUUUUUUUUUCAAGGAUAGUUGUUCUUAAUUUCUCAGAAAUUGGGUUGUAACUUAAAUGACAUUACAGGUUGAUCUACCCAUCCAGCUACAUCACAAAGGCACAGAGAAACCACUCAAAUUUUCUCCAAGAUAGAGUUUCUGGGGCACAGUUGCCUUAUCAGUUUUUUAACAUUCCAAUAUCUACAAGCAUUUGUGGCUUAACUAUGGAUGCAAGAGGCGUCCCCACAAGAGAGUGCAAAAGAAGCAGCCGUCACAAGAUCUAGAAACUUCACUCCCAAAAACAGUCCAAGAAAGCAAAGGCUUCUGCUGCAUAGAUGGUAGUGCACUGACAAGCAACAAAGGUUGAGACAACAGAGGCCUUUGAUGGACUGGGACCCCUUGUGACCAGAGAGAUCACAAAACCAAGCUCUCAACACACACCAGUAGACAAAAAAAAAAAAAAAAAACCUCAUCUUAUAUGCACAUUAACUGUUUUAGCUAUGCUUUGGGUCUCUUAGAGCCAGAAUAACACCUAGGAGGGAGGUGACACAGGGUUGGGGAUUGUGUAUUCUUUACAAAGUACCUACUCAUUGCACAGACAUUUUCUUGAAGUUGGCAGGGGGACCUGUGUCAUCUACCCCAUUCCGUGACCAACUCAUCCUUUCAUGGGAGACUUCUUGAGGUGGUGAGCGCCCUGAUGGCACUUACCUGCUCUAACCAUGCCCACCAAUAUUGCUUGCAGCCCUUUGGGCUCCCAAGAUGCCCUUAGCAACAGUUUCUACCUUAUGUGCAUAUUUCGUAGGCGGGCCCUGCAGCAAAGCCUACUGCGGCCACCCAGACAACAGGCUCAUGGAGUGUCUGCAUCUUGCUCUAUGGUUUUUCCUUUUUAUGACAGAUGACACACAAACAGAAAUAGCAGCUGUCUCUGAGAGGAGAAGGGUCAAUACAAUGAGGACUCAGUAUUUUAGCUUGGAGCUCAAAGCCACCCAACUCAGGAGAAUGCAGCCUAAGGGCCUACACGUGGGGAUCGAAUUAGUGUUUGCCGUUGUUUCAGAACUUAAGCAUUGUUGGCAAAAAGUAUAUUUAUGCUGCAGCUAGAAUCAGAUUGCAAAAAUUUCAAACAUCCCUAAAAUCAAGACCCUAACAAUGAAAGCCCAGCCAAGACUUUCUUCUAAUGACCAGUGUAAUUCCCCUGAGGCUGACAGUGGUUCGGUAGGACUCUUGGCCACAAACAGGAGUGCAAGCUGCAUUUCUGUCUGAUUACCUCUUAUUGCAAAAUGGGAUGCAACCAUAUUUUCGUCCAACUGUAUUUUGGAACAUUCCCCUCCCCCACAACCUGACAGUUAUCAAGCCGAGCCCUCAGGACACAAAACAAGCUUGGCAAGAUUCUCCUGUUCUCUGUAAACAUUUACAGCUUCCGGAAACUCUCUGUUGACAGGUGGAGCCCUUGACUCUUUAAAGAUUAGAGAUUUUUCCUUGUUCCUUGGUUUGGAGGCUCAAAAAGAGCCCAGAAUGGCCAGUGUAAUUUUAAAUUUUCCCAGGUCAUCUUGCCAGUUGUUUACAGUUAUCACCAUUUUAAAGGGCUUUUCCAAGUUGGCCGCAACAAACAAGAUAAUUUCUAAAGAGAGUUUGUUAAGAUCACUGAGAAACUCAUCCUCCAAACAGCCAAUUUUAACAAAUAGAACACUCAGACAUAGACAAUCUUUCUGGGACUCUAACCCAGAGCUCAGGACGCUAACCUGAUCCUUUUGAGGGCCCCGGCGGCUGUAACCGCUUUAUAUUGUCUCCCACAAUCCUGGUCUUGGGACUUUAACCCAGCAGCCAAAUCUCACCACUGGGGCCUCUAACCCACAAUCUGGAUGAGAUGUUAGACAAUUUUAGGCAAGGUCAUUCACUCAAAAGACAUCUGAUCCUGGAGCUCUUUACAGACACAGACACAAACACAAACACGGAAAAACCAGAUACCAGUGAACCGGUUCCUAGAUUUCAGGUGAAGUCCUAUGCCUUUUCCCACUCCAGGAGGGAAACAAAUGGUCCCCUUCUCCAAGAGGGGACCCCAAAUGGGAGGGAAGGAAAGUUCUUGGUGAUGCACCCCCAAGGUGACUUACCCUACUCCAGAUGUGAGCCCGUCGACCCCCCAGAGGUAGCCAUUUCUCUUUCCACCAUAGGGAGCGUUAGGAGGCAGCUGGUAAUGGCAUGGGAGAGCAGGAAAAGCAGAUCCCUGAGACAAAGGGCGUCUCAGCGGCCACAAGGGACUUACCCAACAGGCUGCCCAUCCCAGGUUGACUGGCCAUGAGCAGGACUUAUUGCCCUUUGCGGUCGCCAGAUUUUGUUACCGCACAAAGGGCACGGUCUGCUUAUUGCGAGACAAAAGCCAGUCGUCAAGAGGCAAGAUGGUGGCAGAGAAAGGGCAUUUUAUUACAGCUUGCUAGCAAGAGGGAAGAUGGCCACCCAAUGUCCAAAAG